Spinacia oleracea (spinach) is the source of this 1006-nucleotide long non-coding RNA. RefSeq lists it as uncharacterized. The transcript has 2 exons. Lineage: Eukaryota; Viridiplantae; Streptophyta; Magnoliopsida; Caryophyllales; Amaranthaceae. The record is from RefSeq and is a predicted model, not a curated record.
CCUCUAAAAACAAAAUAAAUGAAAAGUUAAGCGGUAUUUUUCAAUUUAAGGGGAAAUUUUAAGCUGUGAAAAAAACCUCAUUUCAAUUUAAGAGUUGUCGUUCAUUUCAGUAGCCGCAAUUCAACAGGGGUUUUUCAAUAAGGCCCUAUUUGGUUCAUUAUUAGUAAAGGAAAGGAAGAGAAAAGAAAGGAAGGGAAAAGAAAGGAAAAGAAAGGAAGGGAAAUAGGUUUUAUUUUCCUGUGUUUGGUUUAGGGGAAAGAAAUGAAGGGAAGAGAAGGGAAAGCUAAAUGACAGCUUUUAAUUUUCUCUUUCCUUCCGAAUUCCUCCAAUUUUGGAAGGAAAGGAAAGUGAAAAUUUUGUAAAUGAGUUUUCCUUCCAAUUCCUUUCAUUUCCUCCCACUUCCCAUAUAAUUAUUUGUACCAAAUACAGGAAACCUUAUUUUACCUUUCCUUUAUUUUCUUUUCCUUCCAAUUCCUCCCAACCAAAUAAAGCCUUAAAAACCUAGCCUUGAAUUCAUUGCAAAUUCUUCUGAAGGAUCAAACAUAAGGUUUCUCUUAUUAGUGAAACUCACAAUUCUCUUUCUCUUAACAAAGAAAUACUAGAGCAAUCUUGAUUUAAAUCACCGCCUUUUUUUUCAUUAUUGGGAAGAAUUCGUCCGUAUUGAUUUCGCCAGUCUUCAAUUAGGAAGAUGAACUUGCAAUCGGGGAGCACCAAAAUUGAAGUCUUGAUGCAGCUGGCGAUCAAGAGGUGGUGUUACUGCAAUGUUACAAAAGUACAGGAGGGACAAAGAAAAUGAUGACAGACCGUUGAUGCUUAUUUUGAGCAACAAUUAUCUUUGCUUGAUAUGGUAAUUGGUGCCCUGAAAAUAUUCUUCUAUUGGCUUACACAUUGAACAAAGAAAAGCCUGGAAUUGAUUGAUACAAUCAUAUAAGCCUGGAAUUUUAUUUUUCUUUUACUUGUAUCCUUGAGAUCUUAAUUAAUUGUGCUUCAUGUAAGUAUGUUGUCA